UCCUCGUUAGCUCAAUCGGCAGAGCGGGCGGCNNCGGGCGGCUGUUAACCGCUAGGUUCGAAGUUCGAGUCUUCGACGAGGAGCCA
This 86-nucleotide transfer RNA is filed under the name Anaerolineaceae bacterium. RNAcentral describes it as "tRNA-Asn". The record is from RNAcentral. Lineage: Bacteria; Bacillati; Chloroflexota; Anaerolineae; Anaerolineales; Anaerolineaceae.